RNAcentral lists this ribosomal RNA (779 nucleotides) under uncultured Cytophagaceae bacterium. RNAcentral describes it as "bacterial SSU rRNA". It matches the Rfam family "Bacterial small subunit ribosomal RNA", at positions 8 to 796 of the family's 1533-position model. Lineage: Bacteria; Pseudomonadati; Bacteroidota; Cytophagia; Cytophagales; Cytophagaceae. The record is from RNAcentral.
AGAGUUUGAUCAUGGCUCAGGAUGAACGCUAGCGGCAGGCCUAAUACAUGCAAGUCGAACGGUCUCUUCGGAGAUAGUGGCGAACGGGUGCGUAACGCGUAAGUAACCUGCCCUGAACUGGGGGAUAGCCCGGCGAAAGCUGGGGUAAACCCGCAUGGUCUCUUGGGGUGGCAUCACCUUUAGAGUAAACAUUUAUGGGUUUGGGAGGGACUUGCGUCCGAUUAGCUAGAUGGCGGGGUAGUGGCCCACCAUGGCUUUGAUCGGUAGGGGCUCUGAGAGGAGCGGCCCCCACACUGGCACUGAGAUACGGGCCAGACUCCUACGGGAGGCAGCAGUAGGGAAUAUUGGGCAAUGGCGGAAACGCUGACCCAGCCAUGCCGCGUGCAGGAAGAAGGCGCUCAGCGUUGUAAACUGCUUUUAUCGACGAAGAGCGGCCUUCCUGCGGGAAGGUGUGACGGUAGUCGAGGAAUAAGCACCGGCUAACUCCGUGCCAGCAGCCGCGGUAAUACGGAGGGUGCAAGCGUUGUCCGGAUUUAUUGGGUUUAAAGGGUGCGUAGGCGGGCUGGUAAGUCUGGUUUGAAAGUCAGCGGCUCAACCGUUGAGGGUGGCUGGAUACUGCCGGUCUUGAAAUUGUUGGAGGCCACCGGAACGGAUCGUGUAGCGGUGAAAUGCAUAGAUAUGAUCCAGAACACCAAUUGCGUAGGCAGGUGGCUACGACUGAUUUGACGCUGAGGCACGAGAGCAUGGGGAGCAAACAGGAUUAGAUACCCCCGUAGUCC